RNAcentral lists this ribosomal RNA (429 nucleotides) under Bacillota bacterium. RNAcentral describes it as "Firmicutes bacterium partial 16S ribosomal RNA". It matches the Rfam family "Bacterial small subunit ribosomal RNA", at positions 355 to 776 of the family's 1533-position model. The record is from RNAcentral. Lineage: Bacteria; Bacillati; Bacillota.
UAGGGAAUCUUCGGCAAUGGACGGAAGUCUGACCGAGCAACGCCGCGUGAGUGAAGAAGGUUUUCGGAUCGUAAAGCUCUGUUGUUCGAGUAGAACGUUGGUAGGAGUGGAAAAUCUACCAAGUGACGGUAACUAACCAGAAAGGGACGGCUAACUACGUGCCAGCAGCCGCGGUAAUACGUAGGUACCGAGCGUUGUCCGGAUUUAUUGGGCGUAAAGCGAGCGCUGGCGGUUCAUUAAGUCUGAAGUUAAAGGCAGUGGCUUAACCAUUUAACGCUUUAGAAGCUGGAGGACUUGAGUGCAGAAGGGGAGAGUGGAAUUCCAUGUGUAGCGGUGAAAUGCGUAGAUAUAUGGAGGAACACCGGUAGCGAAAGCGGCUCUCUGGUCUGUAACUGACGCUGAGGCUCGAAAGCGUGGGGAGCAAACAGG